RNAcentral lists this ribosomal RNA (1005 nucleotides) under uncultured bacterium. RNAcentral describes it as "bacterial SSU rRNA". It matches the Rfam family "Bacterial small subunit ribosomal RNA", at positions 28 to 1023 of the family's 1533-position model. The record is from RNAcentral.
GAUGAACGCUAGCGAUAGGCCUAACACAUGCAAGUCGAGGGGCAUCACAUGAGGUAGCAAUACUUCUGGUGGCGACCGGCGCACGGGUGAGUAACACGUAUGCAACCUGCCUUCAACAAGGGCAUAACCCGUUGAAAGACGGACUAAUUCCCUAUGACACAGGGGUCCCGCAUGGGGAUAUUUGUUAAAGAUAUUAUCGGUUGAAGAUGGGCAUGCGUUCCAUUAGCUUGUUGGCGGGGUAACGGCCCACCAAGGCAACGAUGGAUAGGGGAACUGAGAGGUUUAUCCCCCACACUGGUACUGAGACACGGACCAGACUCCUACGGGAGGCAGCAGUGAGGAAUAUUGGUCAAUGGACGCAAGUCUGAACCAGCCACGUCGCGUGAAGGAAGACGGCCCUACGGGUUGUAAACUUCUUUUAUACGGGAAUAAAGUGCCCCACGCGUGGGGUUUUGCAAGUACCGUACGAAUAAGGAUCGGCUAACUCCGUGCCAGCAGCCGCGGUAAUACGGAGGAUCCGAGCGUUAUCCGGAUUUAUUGGGUUUAAAGGGUGCUCAGGCGGGGGAUUAAGUCGGCGGUGAAAUUUUGCAGCUCAACUGUAAAAGUGCCUUCGAAACUGGUUUCCUUGAGUGCGGAUGAGGUAGGCGGAAUUUGUGGUGUAGCGGUGAAAUGCAUAGAUAUCACGAGGAACUCCGAUUGCGCAGGCAGCUUACCAAGCCGUAACUGACGCUCAAGCACGAAGGCGUGGGGAUCAAACAGGAUUAGAUACCCUGGUAGUCCACGCAGUAAACGAUGAUUACUGGCUGUUUGCGAUAUAAUGUAAGCGGCUGAGCGAAAGCGUUAAGUAAUCCACCUGGGGAGUACGUUCGCAAGAAUGAAACUCAAAGGAAUUGACGGGGGCCCGCACAAGCGGAGGAACAUGUGGUUUAAUUCGAUGAUACGCGAGGAACCUUACCCGGGCUUGAAAUGCAUCUGGCGUCCCGAGAGAUCGGGAUUUCCCACGGG